Molecule: ribosomal RNA, 460 nt
Filed under: uncultured bacterium
Lineage: Bacteria
Description: partial 16S ribosomal RNA
Rfam family: Bacterial small subunit ribosomal RNA
Source: RNAcentral
CCUACGGGUGGCAGCAGUGAGGAAUAUUGGUCAAUGGGCGCGAGCCUGAACCAGCCAAGUAGCGUGAAGGAUGACUGCCCUACGGGUUGUAAACUUCUUUUAUAAAGGAAUAAAGUGAGGCACGUGUGCCUUUUUGUAUGUACUUUAUGAAUAAGGAUCGGCUAACUCCGUGCCAGCAGCCGCGGUAAUACGGAGGAUUCGAGCGUUAUCCGGAUUUAUUGGGGUUAAAGGGAGCGUAGAUGGGUUGGUAAGUCAGUUGUGAAAGUUUGCGGCUCAACCGUAAAAUUGCAAUUGAUACUGGCAGCCUUGAGUGCAGUUGAGGUAGGCGGAAUUCGUGGUGUAGCGGUGAAAUGCUUAGAUAUCACGAAGAACUCCGAUUGCGAAGGCAGCUUACUAACCUGCCACUGACGUUGAUGCUCGAAAGUGUGGGUAUCAAACAGGAUUAGAUACCCUAGUAGUC